This 402-nucleotide ribosomal RNA is filed under the name Pseudomonas aeruginosa. Its description in RNAcentral is "bacterial SSU rRNA". It matches the Rfam family "Bacterial small subunit ribosomal RNA", at positions 1132 to 1533 of the family's 1533-position model. The record is from RNAcentral. Lineage: Bacteria; Pseudomonadati; Pseudomonadota; Gammaproteobacteria; Pseudomonadales; Pseudomonadaceae. RNAcentral also lists the same sequence under 1 other name.
UGGGCACUCUAAGGAGACUGCCGGUGACAAACCGGAGGAAGGUGGGGAUGACGUCAAGUCAUCAUGGCCCUUACGGCCAGGGCUACACACGUGCUACAAUGGUCGGUACAAAGGGUUGCCAAGCCGCGAGGUGGAGCUAAUCCCAUAAAACCGAUCGUAGUCCGGAUCGCAGUCUGCAACUCGACUGCGUGAAGUCGGAAUCGCUAGUAAUCGUGAAUCAGAAUGUCACGGUGAAUACGUUCCCGGGCCUUGUACACACCGCCCGUCACACCAUGGGAGUGGGUUGCUCCAGAAGUAGCUAGUCUAACCGCAAGGGGGACGGUUACCACGGAGUGAUUCAUGACUGGGGUGAAGUCGUAACAAGGUAGCCGUAGGGGAACCUGCGGCUGGAUCACCUCCUUA